Thamnophis sirtalis is the source of this 3505-nucleotide non-coding RNA. The record is from RefSeq and is a predicted model, not a curated record. NCBI's taxonomy places the organism in Eukaryota, Metazoa, Chordata, Lepidosauria, Squamata, Natricidae.
CAGAGACUUUCUAAUACUCUUUCUCACAGCUUUGCUAUGAACUUAGUCACCAGAGAAUCUCUUCCCUAAUAAAAGGAAAGUUUGCAGUUGCUUCUUUAAAUACAGGUCUCUUGAAUCUUUACCUCUUACAAUUUCCAUACUUUUUGAGGAGCUCCCCUCAAAGUUUUUGUGGAGAACAUGUGCUCCGAUUGUGCUCCUCUGCUCUAAAUCCUGAGCCACACAGGUCACACUGCACCAAAUUAAAGGUGAACAGCAUUUAGAAGACCCAUUUGUAGCAGUUUCUGUUUUUGAAUUUCAGGUGAUUCUAAUCUCGGUGAGAAUUCCGAAGAGCCCCUGAAAGUGCCAGAACUCUAAGUCAAUGGUACCUUUGUUGCUUCUGCUCAUUUUCAGACUAAGAGGAUGAACUGAACAGCAAGAAAGUGUCUUCAUUCUACACAAGGCUGCUAUCUUUUCUAUGUAUCGCUACCAAGGAAUGAGCUGAUAAUUCCAGGCAUUGAUUGCAGCUAUCAAGAACUUAUUUGACUUCUUCUUCAGUUCUUCUAUUAUCCCUUAACAUAGCUGGAAUACACCUUCAGCCAAAAUAUUUGUUAGACACACACACACACACACACACACACAGACACACACACAGCCAUAUUGAAUGACUGCUGAAGGGAGGAAGUGCCUGAUUAGCAGAAACUUUAUGUGGGAGCUUCCUCUGAGCAGAUUGCCUCACUUGGAGAUGGUUAAUAGGACCGUGGACUGGAUCUCAAGGUGCAAUUAGUGUAGACAGCUGCAAGCUGCUUCUCUGCUGUCUUGUUGAUUUGUGACAUAUCCAGAUGUACAGAUUUCUGCUUUUAUAGAAAUAUGCGGUAGAGGGUUCAGAAAAGCUGCACUAAAAUACCAAGAAUUGUAGAAAGCCGCUUGAAUAAGUAGGGAUAGUUUUAUAGGUAUCCAAUGAGGUAAACCUCUGGUCUUUUACAUAACCAGCCUUAUUUCUGAAGGGUAUAAAAAAUAUCUAUUUAAAACUAGUAAAAACACGGCUACAUCAAAUUGUAUGAGAAGAUUAAAUGCUAGUUGCUGGGUCUCAGAUUCUUGGAAGAAGCCAUGACUUAGCAGCUAAGCAUGUAAGAGGGUCCAUGAUGCAAACUCUGCUGCCAGAGAAAAACCAACUGGAGACUUCAGGGUUGUAUGAGAGACCUCAAUCUAGGAGCUUGCAGAACUGCCAGCUAAGGUUCUAAAGCUCACUAGACUAGGUGAGCCAACACUUUGUCUCUUUUUAAAAGCAUUCAUAUUGCAGGCCAUCUUGGUAAAUAUGCCAAGGGAAUCCUGUAUGGGAUUUUUAAACACACCUGAAGUUGCUUUUGCCCUGUAGACAGAAGUCAGCUGGAGCCUUUCUCUCCUUCCUACUGAGGGAAGCGGUGAAAACCAAGAAAUGACAAGAGCUCUGCCUGCUUCUUCUGGCUUUCUCACUUUGGAGCCAGUUGCUCCCCGCACUUUUGGGGAGGCUAGAAAGCAAGAGCAUCCAUCCCAUUGCAAAACUCAUGCUAAAAGGGGUCGCCAAAGCCAUAUAUGAGCUGUGCCUAUUAGAUACCAGCAAGUUGAUUUGAAGGGAAGCUUGGGUGAGUAGAUCAAAAUAAUGAUAAUACUUUUUUAAAAAGCAUGUGGCAACUCUUUCUGUCCAAAAGGCAGAGCUUGUAUUUAGCAUUGACUUGGUGUGCCCUAUGCUAGAGCGGAACGGCCUUUGGAAGAACAAAACUGUCUGAAAUGCUCUAUGAUGGAACUUACACUUUUGCUGAAGUGUUUUCUCUCUUUUUGCCCUGUAUGUGAAUGUGCCUAUGUAUGUAUACGUAGUCCUGAGUACAUACCCAUAUGUUGCUACUAUCAAGUGGCGCCAGGGAUUUGGAUAAUUCACUGUGUCUUCAUGGUCUCACCAAAUUAUUUUCCCAUGAUUAAAAAUAACCAUUCUCGUGAAUGGCUUGCAUCAAGAAGCUUCAAGAGAUAUCUAUCAACCCACAGGAAUAUAUUCUUUCAUUAAUCCUAGGGAUUUCUCAGGAAAAAAUACUUGUAGACUCUUCAACCUGGAACCCCCGUGUGGAAAAUGGAGAUGUCCGCUUCUUCUGGGGGGAAAAGAGGAUUUCUUGAGAUCUUUUCCUUGUAUGGGAAUGUCCAGCAACAGCCAAGAGAUCUCCAGUUUUAUUUUGGAAGCCCUCAUAUAAUGCCUUAAUUAUUUAGGAUUAAUCUCUUUUUCUUUUAGAUACCUGCAUGCUUGUAGUCAUCUCGCCCACCGAAUGGUAGGGCAGUUCAAAUUAAAGCUUUGCCAAGCAUGAGUCUUCAACAGGAAGAAAGGCAAUUGUCUUCUGUCAAAUACGAUGCAGUUUCAGCUGUAAUUCUAUAUAAAUGCCAUUGUCUGCCUCUGGUAGAUGUACUGUAGGUUUCUCUAAAAGCAUUUGCCCUAGCAUCUCUUGGGAGAGGCUCUUUGACAAGAAACAUUUGACCUCCUAUCACUCUUUGAACAUUGAGGCCAAUGUGGUAGGAAUGUACAUUUUGUGGCUUUUGUUUUACCAUGGAAAUUGUAUGUAAUGUUAUGCUACCAAUGAAAAACCACAGCAGCUACUGAGCAUAAUCUCAUAAUUUUGAUUUUUGCAGAGGAAAAGCAAAUGCAGUGGACUCAAUCCCACGAAGAUCUGUUUUUGCAUAGUUUGUUCAGGGUUUCCCUCUAUGUUGCCUUACGUUGAAAAGGUCAUAUUUUCAAUUGGGACAAACAGUUAAAACAAGCAAGGUAUGGGUGGUGGCAGGUCUUAAAAUCCUAAUUCGAAGUCAUUCUCUUCCAUUUCAUUUGCUUGUCAGUAAAACAGAAAUACUGUGAAAAUCCAUGAUGCAUAACAUGCUCAUUUAGUGUUUGGGACCAGAAAAUGGAGAGGGAGGGUACCCAUUCUCUACAUGUUCUCUGUUUGGUUUUAGUUUUAGGCUGCUUUUUAAACACUGAUGUGCUUCAAUGAAAGAAGAUUUUUCCUCCACAGAUCUUUUAAAGUUAUCUCAAUGUUAAUGUUGAAUUGGGACCACAUUAUGGAUUACUUGUUGGGUUUAGUAAUGAUUUACGCAGCAUACGUCUUUGAUCUGGUCUUUUCUGUACACUUAUAGUUAGUGUACAUUGUCCUUUCCCCAGCCACCUAGUAUGAGUUACACAAUGAGAAGAUUUGUUCAUAUGGUUGGCCACACGCCUGCCCUGUUUAAAUUUUUGGGAGCAUUGUGGAAAAUUAAAGUGGUGGCCUGAUCUUUUUACCUUGCACUCCUCAGAGUAUACAGUAGCUGAAUAGACAUAGGGGUAUACUUUUCAACUUUUACUUUGUAUAUAUUUAUCUUGAGAUUUCUGGCAUACUGUGUAAUAUAAAUAUGAAUUAUAAUUUCAGCAUUUUAAAAGAAUUAAUUUUUAGUGUGGCAAUCCUCAUGGAAUGUAUGGGGGGGCUUUUUCUGCUGUAGUUGCCUAUGAUAAGAUGUCUAAAUAAAUUAUAUUGGAAAGCAA